GGAAACUGUUGCGAGCGCAAAGCUCCCCUCUACACCUGAGCGGGGGACAGAUGUGCAUCAAUAUUUAUUCGGAACUCCCAGGAAACCUGGAUGAAGUGUAAUUAUCUCAGCUCAAUCAGCUUGGAUUAGCAUAACAUCAAGUCACCCAUCAGACGGAGGGUUUGAUUUCGGGGAUCAAAGCGACGGCUGUAGCCGCUGAUUAA
RNAcentral lists this long non-coding RNA (203 nucleotides) under Homo sapiens (human). Its description in RNAcentral is "HSALNT0181660". The record is from RNAcentral. Lineage: Eukaryota; Metazoa; Chordata; Mammalia; Primates; Hominidae.